Molecule: ribosomal RNA, 405 nt
Filed under: uncultured bacterium
Lineage: Bacteria
Description: partial 16S ribosomal RNA
Rfam family: Bacterial small subunit ribosomal RNA
Source: RNAcentral
AUUGAACGCUGGCGGCGUGCUUAACACAUGCAAGUCGAACGAGUGGCGAACGGGUGAGUAACACGUGGGUGACCUGCCCUGCACUUCGGGAUAAGCCUGGGAAACUGGGUCUAAUACCGGAUAGUGUGGUAUGGGCCCGCGGCCUAUCUGCUUGUUGGUGGGGUAAUGGCUACCAAGGCGCGACGGGUAGCCGGCCUGAGAGGGUGGACGGUCACAUGGGGACGGAGACACGGCCCUAACUCCUACGGGAGGCAGCAGGGGGAAAUAUUGCAGAAUGGGCGCAAGCCUGAUGAAGCCAUGCCGCGGGGAUGAAGAAGGCCUUAGGGUUGUAAAGUACUUUCAGCGGGGAGGCGUUACCCGCAGAAGAAGCACCGGCUAACUCCGUGCCAGCAGCCGCGGUAAUUC